This 193-nucleotide non-coding RNA is filed under the name Deltaproteobacteria bacterium. RNAcentral's name for it is "6S RNA". It matches the Rfam family "6S / SsrS RNA". From Rfam's summary of the family: E. coli 6S RNA was the first non coding RNA to be sequenced, but its function was unknown until recently. It consists of 184 nucleotides that fold into an extended hairpin structure with a large single-stranded internal bulge. The 6S RNA specifically associates with RNA polymerase holoenzyme containing the sigma70 specificity factor. Lineage: Bacteria; Pseudomonadati; Myxococcota; Myxococcia. The record is from RNAcentral.
UCUCCCCUGCUGUGCUUGUGUCGGUUUUUAUAUUUUAGAACCAACAUUCUGAAGUAGGGAGCCUUCCCUGGUUGUUUACCGACAGGCCCCCCUCCAAGGAGGCCAGGGGAAGUCGAAAGGCAGCUAUAACUGGCACCCACCUAUCUUUGAUAGGUUCAAAAUGGAUGCCGACACGGCACCAAGCGGGGGAGAA